RNAcentral lists this ribosomal RNA (301 nucleotides) under uncultured bacterium. RNAcentral describes it as "partial 16S ribosomal RNA". It matches the Rfam family "Bacterial small subunit ribosomal RNA", at positions 509 to 807 of the family's 1533-position model. The record is from RNAcentral.
CAGUAGCCACGGUAAUACGAAGGGGGCUAGCGUUGCUCGGAAUCACUGGGCGUAAAGGGUGCGUAGGCGGGUUUUUAAGUCAGAGGUGAAAUCCUGGAGCUCAACUCCAGAACUGCCUUUGAUACUGAAAGUCUUGAGUAUGGGAGAGGUGAGUGGAACUGCGAGUGUAGAGGUGAAAUUCGUAGAUAUUCGCAAGAACACCAGUGGCGAAGGCGGCUCACUGGCCCAUAACUGACGCUGAGGCACGAAAGCGUGGGGAGCAAACAGGAUUAGAGACCCCCGUAGUCCCUGUCUCUUAUAC